CACUGGAAGCUUUAACUCCCACUCGAGUCUCUUGGCGUCGUCAGUGCCAGGAGCGCUUGGAUUGGGAUGGGGACGGAGAAGGGUGCCUCGCUCGCCGAGCCCCGCUGCCCUUGGGGACCUGGCAAAGUCGAGGUUUCCUCACAGCGUUGAGAUUGAGACUGGGGGUCGUGGUCUCAAAUAGUCAAGACCCCCUGCUGGGAGGAGCUUCUAUCCUGCUCUGUGGAAGAAAUGGGCAUGCCAGAUGCCUGGAAGAUCAGAGGCUCACAUUCCAGUUCAAAGUUAGAGAAACCUGAGAGGGGUGUACUGGUAUGACCACCCGAGAUCCCAUCGCUGAGAAAGAUAAUGGCCCUGGAGACAAAGACUGAUGAAGAAAGACAGUAUCCAGCUGUGAUGCAGAUGAAACAUGCGGCAUGGUUGCACUCACUAUGCAGCCAAGGCUGGAAGCCACUCUGGAUCCAGCCACUCUGGCACAGCGUUCUUGCUCUAGGAAGAACAACUGAACAUGGCCACACAGGCCUCACAGCUGGCAUAUGGAGGCUGUUAAUAAGCUGAGCUUGAGGCUUCAAAGGACUCUUGUAGCCUGUGCUGGAUCUAGCAGUGACCAGUAUGCCAGUGGCCAUGGAUGCCCAGGCCCAUGUUCAGUAGUGAAGCAGGUGCUAGCAGCAGAAGCAAUAGAAAUGGAAACUGGGAGAUCUGCUGUGGAUGAAUCUCAUUAUCUUCUUUCUCUGACCCUCUUUGGACUAAAUAAACUCCCAGUAUUCUUGACCAACAGAGGUAGGGUUGGAACAGAACCUCAAAAGUCAUCAUUAGACUUCCUACUAAUAGGGCAUUGGAAGUUCAAGCGACUAACUAGGAAACAGGUUAGUAUUUGUACCCCUACACUGUGCAACAGAUUACAUACCAUUUGCUCUAUUUGGCAUCCUUUCCUUAGGCUAGAUUCCCAGAAGAAAGAUUACUGAUUCGAAGGGCAUGAACAUUUUUAUGACUCUUGGCCUAAAUUACUAGGCCAAGGUUUUUUCAAAGGGAUGCACUAAUUUUCACUAUUUCCCCACACCCUUUCAGGUGAUAAAUAAUUGACUUGAUUUGUUUACACUGACGCCAAGAAUUCUUGGGAAGAAGGAUCAAAGUGAAAAGUGGUAGCCCAUGGUGGGGAGGCCACACUCAGUGCAGUUGUGAAGUCAGCAGCAUUUUUAAGCCCAUUCAUUGCCAGUAGCCCUGAGAUGAGCAUUCCCAAGCUGCUUCCCAGGUCCCUCCUCCACUCUCUCAGGGACAUCCAUUCUGUACCAGCCCCCUCAGAUACUCAUGCCCUUGCCCUCCCUUCUCCAUGCUCAUUAAAACCAGCUUAAGAGCAGAUAUGACAUCAGUCACUUACCUUUUCGUGUGGCUCUAAAUCAAAGUGUCACCUCUCCCAAGCACAUGCUUGCAUCUUAGCUCUGAUUGAGGAAUGAAAAGCUUUGUUCUCUGUUAAAAGAACUUUGAGCUUAGAUGCCCCAGACUGAGAAAUCCACCAAAAGCUGGACCUUUGACUUGAGCGGCAAAGGACCCCCAUAGUCAGGCUGUGAUUUGAGGAGCAUCAAGAGGCCAGAGUUUCCAAGUUGGGACCCAGAAGGUGGGGUUGGCAGGGGGAGGGUAGGAGCAGCUGGAGACUCUGCUCUACCAGGGGAAUACGGAGGUGGGGACCAAUCCCAGGGUAA
Molecule: long non-coding RNA, 1694 nt
Organism: Homo sapiens (human)
Lineage: Eukaryota; Metazoa; Chordata; Mammalia; Primates; Hominidae
Gene: CYP1B1-AS1
Product: CYP1B1 antisense RNA 1
Source: Ensembl